This is a long non-coding RNA of Gasterosteus aculeatus aculeatus (three-spined stickleback), 929 nucleotides long. Lineage: Eukaryota; Metazoa; Chordata; Actinopteri; Perciformes; Gasterosteidae. The record is from Ensembl.
GUGAGAAGAGGAGAGGAGAGGUGGAGUAGAUGUGAGGAGAGGUGGAGUAGAUGUGAGGAGAGGUGAAGGAGAUGUGAGGAGAGGAGAGGUGGAGAUGUGAGGAGAGGUGGAGGAGAUGUGAGGAGAGGUGGAGGAGAUGUGAGGAGAGGUGGAGGAUAGGUGGAGGAGAUGUGAGGAGAGGUGGAGGAGAUGUGAGGAGAGGUGGAGGAGAUGUGAGGAGAUGGGAGGAGAGGUGGAGGAGAUGUGAGGAGAGGUGGAGGAGAUGUGAGGAGAGGUGGAGGAGAUGUGAUGAGAGGUGGAGGAGAGGUGGAGGAGAGGUGGAGGAGAUGUGAGGAGAGGUGGAGGAGAGGUGAGGAGAGGUGGAGGAGAUGUGAGGAGUCAUUUUCCACUGAAUAAAACCAUCCGUUGAGUUUCUCCUGGUAUUCCACAUGUACAUAAGUCAUGUGACCUCGGUGGACACACUGCACCUCCAGCAGGCCUCCUCUGACGGCUCCUCGGGGUCCUCACCUCUUUCUGGUGGUACUUGAUGGCCAGUUUGAGCUUGGCCAGGUCGUGGCACUGCCUCGGGUCCAGCUCCUCGCUCUGGUCGUUGUCUCUGUGGUUCAGGAUGGUCUCCAGCUCCCUGGAGCUCCUGGCCUGGUCCAGAAGGUCCUUGGCGAAGCGUUUGCACUGCUGGGACAGCUCCUCGUACUCCUGCCGGAACUCGUUCUCCACCUGAGAGGACGCAGGAGGUUCCUCCUGAAGGCCUCCGGUGCAACACAAGAGACUGACCGGUUCUACUUCCCGCCCUCACCUUGCUGAGCUCCUUGAGCUCCCAGCCCAGCCUGAAGGCCGUGAGGAUGGGGUCCUCGCUGGACAGCGCGAUGAGCGAGGGCGAGGCCAGCGCCUUGUAGAUGUUGAGUCGAGACCUCGAGUGCCGAAGACUGUCC